GGGCUUGACAUCCCACGAACCUGCUGAAGGGCAGGAGUGCCCGCAAGGGAGCGCGGAGACAGGUGGUGCAUGGCUGUCGUCAGCUCGUGUCGUGAGAUGUUGGGUUAAGUCCCGCAACGAGCGCAACCCUCACCCCUUGUUGCCAUCAGGUAAUGCUGGGCACUCUAGGGGAACUGCCCCGGUCAACGGGGAGGAAGGCGGGGAUGACGUCAAGUCAUCAUGCCCCUUACGCCCUGGGCUACACACGUGCUACAAUGGUCGGUACAAAGGGAUGCGAGACCGCGAGGUGGAGCCAAACCCAAAAAGCCGGCCUAAGUUCAGAUUGGAGUCUGCAACUCGACUCCAUGAAGGAGGAAUCGCUAGUAAUCGCGUAUCAGCACGACGCGGUGAAUACGUUCCCGGGCCUUGUACACACCGCCCGUCACACCACGAAAGCCAGCUGUACUCGAAGUCGCUGAG
This 459-nucleotide ribosomal RNA is filed under the name uncultured bacterium. RNAcentral describes it as "bacterial SSU rRNA". It matches the Rfam family "Bacterial small subunit ribosomal RNA", at positions 977 to 1434 of the family's 1533-position model. The record is from RNAcentral.